GAAAUGCGAUAAGUAAUGUGAAUUGCAGAAUUCAGUGAAUCAUUGAAUCUUUGAACGCAUCUUGCGCUCCUUGGUAUUCCUUGGAGCAUGCCUGUUUGAGUAUCAUGAAAUCUUCAAAGUAAAUCUUUUGUUAACUCAAUUGGUUUCUACUUUGGUAUUGGAGGUCUUUGCAGCUUCACACCUGCUCCUCUUUGUUCAUUAGCUGGAUCUCAGUGUUAUGCUUGGUUCCACUCGGCGUGAUAAGUUAUCUAUCGCUGAGGACACUGUAAAAGGUGGCCAAGGUAAAUGCAGAUGAACCGCUUCUAAUAGUCCAUUGACUUGGACAAUACUUUUAUGAUCUGAUCUCAAAUCAGGUAGGACUACCCGCUGAACUUAAGC
Molecule: unclassified non-coding RNA, 378 nt
Filed under: plant metagenome
Description: partial contains 5.8S ribosomal RNA, internal transcribed spacer 2, and large subunit ribosomal RNA
Rfam family: 5.8S ribosomal RNA (bases 1-105)
Source: RNAcentral